RNAcentral lists this ribosomal RNA (914 nucleotides) under Salmonella enterica. RNAcentral's name for it is "partial 23S ribosomal RNA". It matches the Rfam family "Bacterial large subunit ribosomal RNA", at positions 788 to 1616 of the family's 2925-position model. The record is from RNAcentral. Lineage: Bacteria; Pseudomonadati; Pseudomonadota; Gammaproteobacteria; Enterobacterales; Enterobacteriaceae.
GUUGAAAAAUUAGCGGAUGACCUGUGGCUGGGGGUGAAAGGCCAAUCAAACCGGGAGAUAGCUGGUUCUCCCCGAAAGCUAUUUAGGUAGCGCCUCGUGAAUUCAUCUCCGGGGGUAGAGCACUGUUUCGGCUAGGGGGCCAUCCCGGCUUACCAACCCGAUGCAAACUGCGAAUACCGGAGAAUGUUAUCACGGGAGACACACGGCGGGUGCUAACGUCCGUCGUGAAGAGGGAAACAACCCAGACCGCCAGCUAAGGUCCCAAAGUCAUGGUUAAGUGGGAAACGAUGUGGGAAGGCCCAGACAGCCAGGAUGUUGGCUUAGAAGCAGCCAUCAUUUAAAGAAAGCGUAAUAGCUCACUGGUCGAGUCGGCCUGCGCGGAAGAUGUAACGGGGCUAAACCAUGCACCGAAGCUGCGGCAGCGAACGUAUCACCCAAGACAACUUUACGGAGUUGACGAUUGACGGAGCGAAGCGACGUCAAAGCGUUCAUUAAAGUCGAGUUGGCUUAGGGAUACGUUCGUUGGGUAGGGGAGCGUUCUGUAAGCCUGUGAAGGUGUGUCGUGAGGCAUGCUGGAGGUAUCAGAAGUGCGAAUGCUGACAUAAGUAACGAUAAAGCGGGUGAAAAGCCCGCUCGCCGGAAGACCAAGGGUUCCUGUCCAACGUUAAUCGGGGCAGGGUGAGUCGACCCCUAAGGCGAGGCCGAAAGGCGUAGUCGAUGGGAAACGGGUUAAUAUUCCCGUACUUGGUGUUACUGCGAAGGGGGGACGGAGAAGGCUAUGUUGGCCGGGCGACGGUUGUCCCGGUUUAAGCGUGUAGGUGUGUGUUCCAGGUAAAUCCGGUUCACUUUAACACUGAGGCGUGACGACGAGGCACUACGGUGCUGAAGCAACAAAUGCCCUGCUUCCAGGAAAA